RNAcentral lists this ribosomal RNA (334 nucleotides) under Tolypothrix sp. T3-bin4. RNAcentral's name for it is "bacterial SSU rRNA". It matches the Rfam family "Bacterial small subunit ribosomal RNA", at positions 1 to 360 of the family's 1533-position model. Lineage: Bacteria; Bacillati; Cyanobacteriota; Cyanophyceae; Nostocales; Tolypothrichaceae. The record is from RNAcentral.
AAAUGAGAGUUUGAUCCUGGCUCAGGAUGAACGCUGGCGGUAUGCAUAACACAUGCAAGUCGAACGAAGCCCUUCGGGGUUUAGUGGCGAACGGGUGAGUAACGCGUGAGAAUCUGCCAAGAGGUUUGGGACAACAGCUGGAAACGGCUGCUAAUACCAAAUAUGCACAACUGUGAAAGGGGUUUACCCCGCCUCGUGAUGAGCUCGCGUCUGAUUAGCUAGUUGGUGGUGUAAGGGACUACCAAGGCGACGAUCAGUAGCUGGUCUGAGAGGACGAUCAGCCACACUGGGACUGAGACACGGCCCAGACUCCUACGGGAGGCAGCAGUGGGGA